Molecule: long non-coding RNA, 366 nt
Organism: Mobula hypostoma (lesser devil ray)
Lineage: Eukaryota; Metazoa; Chordata; Chondrichthyes; Myliobatiformes; Myliobatidae
Exons: 3
Source: RefSeq, a predicted model, not a curated record
UUGACUUCACUUUGCCUGAAUGAAGAUAACACCUGAAACAUGAAAGCUAGUUGAAGGAAAUGCAGAUAGAGAUGAUAUUGCACCACCGUUACCCACAAUCAACUUUCCGCCUCCUCACACGUCAUGAACCAGAAACAAUGUGAGACAGUAAUUGUUGCAGAAGGAACAUGAACAGAUUGAGUUGCGAAAUUCACUGUCUGAAUUGAAAAAAAGCAAUAAAUUGCAAGAAGAUCAAAUAUUUUUCCUCAAUGAGGAUGUCACGAGAAAACAGAGGAGAACAAAAGGUUGCUGCAGAAGUAUCAUAAUGUAAAGGAGAAGACUGCAAAGCAAGCCAGAUGCUAUGAAGAUACCAUCAAAGACCUAAGG